Long non-coding RNA from Cyanistes caeruleus (blue tit), 1692 nucleotides. The record is from Ensembl. NCBI's taxonomy places the organism in Eukaryota, Metazoa, Chordata, Aves, Passeriformes, Paridae.
AGACAGAAACAGUCUUAUGAAAAAAUUUUACCAAGUCUUGAGCAACUGUUAGCCAGAAAGAAGAGAGAUGAGGGGAAGGGAGUAGAGAGAGAAAAGCAGUGUCAACAAGAGCAUCUGAACUGUUCAGCCUUGGAAGAGCGACUGAGAGGGGACUUUGCUGAUGUCUGUCAGUAUCUGAAGGGAGGGUGCCAAGAGGAUGGAGCCAGGCUCUGCUCAGUGGUGCUGAGAAAUGGGACAAGAGGCAAUGGGCAGCAACUGAGGCACGGGAAGUUCCUGAUCAUGAGGAACAAGUUCUUUACUGUGCUGGUGACUGUACACUGGAACAGAUUGCCCAGAGAGGUGGUGGAGUCUCCCCCACAGGAAAUAUUCAAGAACUGCCUGGAUGCAAUCCUGUGCCCUGUGCCCUGUGCUCUGGGAUGACCCUGCUUGGGCAGGGAGGUUGGACCAGAUGACCCCCUGUGGUCCCUUCUAACCAGACCCAUUCUGUGACUCUGUGAUUCUACAAUAUUAGGCUCUACUGUAUCUGCCUAAGAACAGGCUUUUACUGGAAAAAUUGAUAAGUGGUAACCAAUAGUUUUUCAUCCAAAUCUGCAUUAUAUAAAUUUUUACAUAACAUGCAAGGACUAAGAAAAUAUACUACAAAUUUCAAUGUCUUCCUAAAAUAUUUGUCCCGUCUGUCUAUAAAGAGGAAGUUUAAUAGUACACUUUUUUUUUUUUUUUUUACCAUUGGCUGUAAUAUCUUUUGUCUUUCUUGUCAUAAAACAGCACUGUGAGGCAGAAGAAGUACUUUUCUCCUCAUAUGCAAAAGGGAACUGAGAACACGUGUCGUACAUUUUCUGUGUUGUUUUAUGCCUUGAUUUUAUUUCAGAUUUUCCAAAGAUUCAAAAUUUCAAGUGUACACCAUGGCAUGAAAUCUAAGAGAGCAAUUUGACUUACAUUUCAGUGUCUGCACUCUAAGAAUUUUCACCUGAAUGAACUCCUGUAUAAUCAAUGAAGACCUAGCCACCAUAGGCAGGGAGCUCAGGGAGGCUUUCAGAUAAUCAGAUGUGUUUCCCUGUAGACACCUGUCUAUAUGCAGACAUUUCCACUGUAGACACUGACUGGGAGAACCCCAAGUGCAGCUGGAUAUGCUGGUACCUCUGCAUCCUGGCUGUGUCCAUGACAAUAUGCAGCAACAGCCCUUCUCGGCGUGCCCUGUGGCUGAUGGAGAAUGGACAUGUCAGCCAAGGAAUGUGUGAUUGAUGUGGAAGUUGCAGUGGCCCUACAUCACAUAUGGCACAGACAGCUGAGGUCUGCAGGUCUCUGGAUUCCAUGCAGCCUCAUCCUUUGAGCAAGGUGGUCACAGACCAGCUACUGAGCGAGGCAGAUAAGGAACAAAACUCUGUCAGGAAAUAUUCUGGCUGUUAGCCCACCCUCUGUCCUAUGGGAUAAUACAGGUAUAAACAGCAGAAUUCAGACCAGAUCCCAUGGGAGUCAGGCACUGAGCUCCUUUGGGAUUUUGUCUCCACAUGAAUUAUUGCAGGUUAUAGAUGAAGUCUUUAAGGCAGAAUAUAAACAAACUGUGGCAUGCCAAACCUUAGGCUAAUGUUUUACACCUAAAUAAUCCAUCUUGAAGUGUCUCAUGAUUAUUUUUCAUUUUUCUGAAGUACAUUAAUUUAAAACACUUCUAUGAGAUAUAGAAAUAAAUGUGAA